AGCAGUCAUAAAGAAGUCUUCCUUCUCGUCAAUGACUAGCUCGAUGCUGCAGUUGUAUAUCUAGUUCUUUGAUCUGAGGUGCAUCGACAGUUCACCUUGAGUGUUUUAUAGUUUGACUACACCAUAACUCGAUCUCCUAGCCAUUCAAAAUCUUGAGGUGUAUGUUGGCUGUAGCAUAUUCAUUGUAGGAGCUAGGUCGCACCA
RNAcentral lists this long non-coding RNA (204 nucleotides) under Elaeis guineensis (African oil palm). RNAcentral's name for it is "long non-coding RNA (EGUI_LNC068718)". Lineage: Eukaryota; Viridiplantae; Streptophyta; Magnoliopsida; Arecales; Arecaceae. The record is from RNAcentral.